GACGAACGCUGGCGGCGUGCUUAAUACAUGCAAGUAGAACGCUGAAGGAGGAGCUUGCUUCUCCGGAUGAGUUGCGAACGGGUGAGUAACGCGUAGGUAACCUGCCUGGUAGCGGGGGAUAACUAUUGGAAACGAUAGCUAAUACCGCAUAAGUGUAGAUGUCGCAUGACAUUUGCUUAAAAGGUGCAACUGCACCACUACCAGAUGGACCUGCGUUGUAUUAGCUAGUUGGUGAGGUAACGGCUCACCAAGGCAACGAUACAUAGCCGACCUGAGAGGGUGAUCGGCCACACUGGGACUGAGACACGGCCCAGACUCCUACGGGAGGCAGCAGUAGGGAAUCUUCGGCAAUGGACGGAAGUCUGACCGAGCAACGCCGCGUGAGUGAAGAAGGUUUUCGGAUCGUAAAGCUCUGUUGUAAGAGAAGAACGAGUGUGAGAGUGGAAAGUUCACACUGUGACGGUAUCUUACCAGAAAGGGACGGCUAACUACGUG
This 495-nucleotide ribosomal RNA is filed under the name uncultured bacterium. RNAcentral describes it as "partial 16S ribosomal RNA". It matches the Rfam family "Bacterial small subunit ribosomal RNA", at positions 28 to 507 of the family's 1533-position model. The record is from RNAcentral.